RNAcentral lists this ribosomal RNA (507 nucleotides) under uncultured bacterium. RNAcentral's name for it is "bacterial SSU rRNA". It matches the Rfam family "Bacterial small subunit ribosomal RNA", at positions 32 to 513 of the family's 1533-position model. The record is from RNAcentral.
AAUCAACGCUGGCGGCGUGCCUCAGACAUGCAAGUCGAACGCGAAAGUUUCCUUCGGGGAACAAGUAGAGUGGCGCACGGGUGAGUAACACGUAGGUAAUCUACCUUUGGAUGGGGAAUAACAAUCGGAAACGGUUGCUAAUACCGCAUAAUGCAGCGGCACCUAAUGGUGACAGUUGUUAAAGCGGGGGAUCGAAAGACCUCGCGUCUGAAGAGGAGCCUGCGGCGGAUUAGCUAGUUGGUAAGGUAAUGGCUUACCAAGGCUACGAUCCGUAACCGGCCUGAGAGGGCGGUCGGUCACACUGACACUGACAUACGGGUCAGACUCCUACGGGAGGCAGCAGUCGGGAAUUUUGGGCAAUGGGCGAAAGCCUGACCCAGCAACGCCGCGUGAAGGAAUGAAAUCCCUCGGGAUGUAAACUUCGCAAGAACGGGAAGAAUAAGCGAGAGUUAAUAUCUCUCGUGAUGACGGUACCGUUUGUAAGCUCCGGCUAACUCCGUGCCAGCA